Molecule: unclassified non-coding RNA, 821 nt
Filed under: Hevea brasiliensis (rubber tree)
Lineage: Eukaryota; Viridiplantae; Streptophyta; Magnoliopsida; Malpighiales; Euphorbiaceae
Source: RNAcentral
AAGAAAAAAAAAAAAAAAAAGAGCAAAGUGAAACUGUUUGAACAGGAGUGGGAAACACGAAAUCCAUAUCAACAGAUUUUGACAUAAAAUAAAUACAUGAAACCUAUUUUAGCAACUCCUAACAGGCUAAUAGGGAAAAAAGUGCAAGAAGAGAAUAUCCCCAUCCAAUUAGAAGGGGAAAAAAUGGAUGUUCUCAACAAUUCUUGAAGGGCUGAUCAAGUAAAGAAAUUAUUCUCAGAAUUCAAAAGAUUUCCUUCAUAACCUUUUGAUCCACUAUUAUUAAAAUCAACGUAAAUUGAUUUAAAUUGCAGUGCAAAUUCAAGAAAAUGAUUCUUUGCAUGUGGACACGUAAAUUAGUAUUUGGUUGGUUCUACAACAAAGCAUUAAUUCAAAUAUUCAAUGCAUAGAAAAUUUAUAAAAUCAUAUAUGUACAAGACUUCUCCAAUGGAUAUCGAAGAAAUCAGUCCCCUAUUACCUUACCAAAUGAAAAAGAAAAGAGGAAAAAGAGUAGCACGCUUUUCAAGUCCAAUACUCCAUCCCACUAUGUUAAUUGUAUGACUUCCCAUCAAUUGAUUAGUCUCAUUCAAUAUAUUUAUCAUGCUUAACCAGUAAUUAUCAUUUUAAUUACCAGGGAUGAAUCACCUGAGCUAUAUACAUUGUUCUCCAAAAUUACCAAAAUAUAAUUACAUGGAAAAGUAAACAGAUAUACGAAUAUAAAAAUCCUCAAAAUUUUAGAAUUUGGCAAAAAAAAUAGUCAAAUGCAAUAAAAACCACCAACCCAUUACUGAGGGAGAUUGGAAAUGCAUGCAAGAAAAAAAAAA